Molecule: ribosomal RNA, 253 nt
Filed under: uncultured bacterium
Lineage: Bacteria
Description: partial 16S ribosomal RNA
Rfam family: Bacterial small subunit ribosomal RNA
Source: RNAcentral
CACGUAAGGGGCGAGCGUUGUUCGGAAUUAUUGGGCGUAAAGGGCACGCAGGCGGUCGUGCAAGUCUGAUGUGAAAUCCCCGGGCUCAACUCGGGAGACGCGUUGGAAACUGCAUGGCUAGAGUAUUGGAGGGGGAGUCGGAAUUCCUAGUGUAGGGGUGAAAUCUGUUGAUAUUAGGAAGAACACCGGUGGCGAAGGCGGACUCCUGGCUGGAUACUGACGCUGAGGUGCGAAAGCAUAGGGAGCAAACAGG